This 468-nucleotide ribosomal RNA is filed under the name uncultured bacterium. RNAcentral's name for it is "partial 16S ribosomal RNA". It matches the Rfam family "Bacterial small subunit ribosomal RNA", at positions 28 to 507 of the family's 1533-position model. The record is from RNAcentral.
GAUGAACGCUGGCGGCGUGCUUAACACAUGCAAGUCGAACGGAAAGGCCGAAGCUUGCUUCGGUACUCGAGUGGCGAACGGGUGAGUAACACGUGGGUGAUCUGCCCUGUACUUCGGGAUAAGCUUGGGAAACUGGGUCUAAUACCGGAUAUGACGAUCUCUUGGAUGGGGUUGUGGAAAGCUUUUGCGGUAUGGGAUGAGCUCGCGGCCUAUCAGCUUGUUGGUGGGGUAAUGGCCUACCAAGGCGUCGACGGGUAGCCGGCCUGAGAGGGUGUACGGCCACAUUGGGACUGAGAUACGGCCCAGACUCCUACGGGAGGCAGCAAUGGGGAAUAUUGCACAAUGGGCGCAAGCCUGAUGCAGCGACGCCGCGUGGGGGAUGACGGCCUUCGGGUUGUAAACUCCUUUCGCAAUCGACGAAGCCUUUUGGUGACGGUAGGUGGAGAAGAAGCACCGGCUAACUACGUG